This is a small nuclear RNA of Loxodonta africana (African savanna elephant), 133 nucleotides long. Its record names the gene U2. It matches the Rfam family "U2 spliceosomal RNA". Rfam says of the family: U2 is a small nuclear RNA (snRNA) component of the spliceosome (involved in pre-mRNA splicing). The record is from Ensembl. Lineage: Eukaryota; Metazoa; Chordata; Mammalia; Proboscidea; Elephantidae.
ACCAUUUCUUGGCCUUUUGGCUAAGACCAAGUGCAGUAUCUGGUCUUGUCAGUUUAAGAUCUGAAGGGGCCUUGGUGGCCCAGUGGUUAAGAGCUCGGCUGCUAACCAAAACAGCAGUUCGAAUCCACCAGCU